Molecule: ribosomal RNA, 491 nt
Filed under: uncultured bacterium
Lineage: Bacteria
Description: partial 16S ribosomal RNA
Rfam family: Bacterial small subunit ribosomal RNA
Source: RNAcentral
GUGAACGCUGGCGGUAGGCCUAACACAUGCAAGUCGCACGGCAGCACAGUAAGAGCUUGCUCUUACGGGUGGCGAGUGGCGGACGGGUGAGGAAUACAUCGGAAUCUACUUUUUCGUGGGGGAUAACGUAGGGAAACUUACGCUAAUACCGCAUACGACCUACGGGUGAAAGCAGGGGAUCUUCGGACCUUGCGCGAUUGAAUGAGCCGAUGUCGGAUUAGCUAGUUGGCGGGGUAAAGGCCCACCAAGGCGACGAUCCGUAGCUGGUCUGAGAGGAUGAUCAGCCACACUGGAACUGAGACACGGUCCAGACUCCUACGGGAGGCAGCAGUGGGGAAUAUUGGACAAUGGGCGCAAGCCUGAUCCAGCUAUACCGCGUGGGUGAAGAAGGCCUUCGGGUUGUAAAGCCCUUUUGUUGGGAAAGAAAAGCAGCAGGUUAAUACCCCGCUGUUCUGACGGUACCCAAAGAAUAAGCACCGGCUAACUUCGUG